GGAGAAGUCGCCUAGCCCGGCUUAUGGCGCACGACUGGAACUCGUGUAAAGUGAAAGCUUUCGAGGGUUCGAAUCCCUCCUUCUCCGCCA
This 90-nucleotide transfer RNA is filed under the name Clostridiales bacterium. Its description in RNAcentral is "tRNA-Ser". It matches the Rfam family "tRNA". Rfam says of the family: Transfer RNA (tRNA) molecules are approximately 80 nucleotides in length. Their secondary structure includes four short double-helical elements and three loops (D, anti-codon, and T loops). The record is from RNAcentral. Lineage: Bacteria; Bacillati; Bacillota; Clostridia; Eubacteriales.